UUUUUCCUGCCACCGAAUACAUUAGCAUGGGAUAAUGGAAUAGGACCCUGACCUCCUAUUUUCAGUUGGUUUUGUUUACGCCAGGCCAUAUCCGGGUAAUGAUUAAUAGGGAUAGUUGGGGGCAUUAAUAUUUAAUUGUCAGAGGUGAAAUUCUUGGAUUUAUGAAAGAUUAACUUCUGCGAAAGCGUUUGCCAAGGAUGUUUUCCUUACUCCAGAACCAAAGUUAGGGGAUCGAAGACGAUCAGAUACCGUCGUAGUCUUAACCAUAAACCAUGCCCACCCCCGAUUAGGAGACGUUGAAUACCCAACACCGCUGCUAAUCCUUUCGGGGGUUAAUCCCCUGGUGAAUCACCCCCCCCCCCCCCCUGA
Molecule: ribosomal RNA, 369 nt
Filed under: Acanthamoeba sp.
Lineage: Eukaryota; Discosea; Longamoebia; Acanthamoebidae
Description: partial small subunit ribosomal RNA
Rfam family: Eukaryotic small subunit ribosomal RNA
Source: RNAcentral